GCUCGGAGGGGUUAAAGAAGCGAAGCUCGCACCAAGCGGAGCUGGAGCGGAGCAGAUUUGAGCCGGGGGAGCCAAUGAGGCAGCAACAUUUGAAACAAAGCAGCCAGUCAAGGGCCCGCUCCUGGAAACGGGGCAGGACGGAGGAAGCCCCGCGGCUCUCCCGGCGCUUCCCGGUCCCGCGAAGCCAGGGCAUGGCGCUGGGAGCACGGUGCUGGAGCCAAACGCGCCACGGGCAGGCUGGGCUGGCGUUGGCACCCCGGAAUAUUCAGGGAUCAAAGUACCUGCUGCAGCACCGCCGGCCUGCUAACGGGCGCCUGGAAGCCUUCCGAGAAUCGCGUCAGAAAUUAAAAUAAAAAGAGAUCGUCGGGUGGAAAGGAGCCUCUCCCAGCCCAAACUCCCCGGGGGCACCCUCACGUUCCUUGUUUCAUCCUCUGGAGAGGAGCAGCAGCAGCGGAGCUGACUGGGAGCGCGCUCACGCCGCCGCGUCUCUCUUGGCGCAAGAGGCGAAAGCCGCUCGUCCUUCCGCAGAGCGACGCCUCUGAUGCCGGCAGCGACAAGCAGCAGCUCAGAAAUCUCCGAUUUCCAACUCUUCAGACUACAAAACUCCAGCAGCUGCUCUCCUGGGCUGCCAGGAGCACAAAGAGCCCCUAGCAUCAAUUUCAGAGCCUUGUGAAACACGCUCAUUAAUUCGCAGAAAGAUAAAAGGACUUCAAAGGCACGGUUCCAGCCCCCAAAUCUCUCCGAAUUCGAACCAAAUCAGCAAGAGCACCUCUUCCCAACCCCUGCCCUGCGGACGGCCCCGGACCCGCGGUGCGGGGGGGAUUAAUUCGGGUUCGGGGACGACGAGGGCUUUGCCUGCUUUCUGCAGCCACCCAGCGCGGUUCAGGCUUCGGGUGAGAAACUCCUCUGGCUUUUUCCACCCACGCAGAGCCCGCGGGGUUGCCCGGCGAUGACUCAGGGUCGACGGGCUCAAAACGCCGGUUUCUGGGAACCUCUCGCGGCUCUCGUCCUGCGUCGCUGCGCGAGGAGGAGCGAGUCCCCCGGCGGAUGGUCUGGGAGGACGGCGAAGGCCUCCCAGGAGGUGCCAGAGGAGAAGGUGCCAGGUGGAAAAGGAUUCACCUCCUUCGCGCUACCACGCUCAAAAAAAAUCGGCGAGGGAAGAAGGAACGGCCGAGGUGAGCGGAUUCCCGACGCCCUCCGCAUGUUCCGUACCAACAGAAACCUCGGGAGAGGCCGGCCAGGCCCCGGCACUUCCACCAGCUGGGGAAAAAGCCACAUCGGAGCACCCGGCCCCACCGCCACCGUCCCCUCCAGGCGGGCUCAGGGCACACGCUGCCCUUUGGGCUCAAAAAGUGAGUUUUUGGUGAACACCCUUCUCGGGAGAGCUGCUGUGGAAGCGCGAGCAGCGUCACCACGGCGUGGAAAACCUCCCGCGGCCGCGCCUGCAUUGGAAGGGGGUUAACCAAACCCUCAAGGAGGAUUUCAAGGGGAUUUAAAGAAAGGAAAAAGGCUCCCGGUGUGUAUCUGGCAUCGCCUCCUCCCACCCCGCCAAGGACAAACAGGUUUUUCCGUGCGCCUUCGGUCGAGGGCGGAGGAGCCGCACGCGAUCGCUAUCUGCCAACUCUCCUCCAGUGAAGCCAGCGGGGAACACACGGAGCCGGCCGGGCUCGCCGGGAUCCUGCGGCUGAGGAGGGAAACGAAGAGGGAGUGCAGCCCGGCCGAGGUCCUGGAGGCUCGUGGCAGCCCCCGAGCAGCCGGUGACGAGGAUUUGAACGUGAAGCGGCGCCGGGCUCGGCUCCUAGAGCUCACAGGGCCGCCAAGGAGGCUCCGGGAGGUGCGAGGGACGCGGGAGCCCGGCUGGAGCCUUCCCCAAAUCCGCCUCCGAGAGCCUCUGCAGGGCAGGGGCCGGCAGCACGGCACGCCAAGAAUGCGGGGAAGGGCUGACACGGCCGGCUCCGGCCAGCACGUUAAUUACACGCUGCUAACGAGCCACCGGGCGCUGCGCCUGAUGGACGGGGCAGGGGGGCCACACUGGAGCUCCCCAGGCCCCAACCCAGAGCUCCCCUGGCCCCAGCCCGCUACCGAGAAGUCCAUUUCUGCCAUUUACAGCUUGGUGCUAAUUAAACUGCGAGCUGAUUAGCCGAGGCAAACCUUUAAUUAGCCUCUUACAGCACUGACAAAAAUUACAGCUCAUCUGCGCCGCGUAAGAGCACGACACGGGGAGAGGAAGAGGGGAGCGAGCGCAGCUCAGGAGAGUUUCAUUGUUCGUUACAGCCGGCUUUUUAUUAAAACAGGCGUUAAUUAAUCACCUCCCGGGGGGGGGCAGCGGCGUUCGUGGAUCCCCCGAUCCC
Cygnus olor (mute swan) is the source of this 2351-nucleotide long non-coding RNA. RefSeq lists it as uncharacterized. Lineage: Eukaryota; Metazoa; Chordata; Aves; Anseriformes; Anatidae. The transcript is spliced from 2 exons. The record is from RefSeq and is a predicted model, not a curated record.